Molecule: long non-coding RNA, 733 nt
Filed under: Chinchilla lanigera (long-tailed chinchilla)
Lineage: Eukaryota; Metazoa; Chordata; Mammalia; Rodentia; Chinchillidae
Description: lncRNA (ENSCLAG00000024219.1)
Source: RNAcentral
UUUCUAGUAAAUUUUAACUUGAUAAACAAGGGAUGUCUUGCAACACAAGUACUACAUGAAAGUCAUCCUGUGUAAUAACCCUCCUCGCUCAUCUCCCUCACACCAGCCACAAAGGUUUGCAAAAGUCCUCAGGACUCAGUGGAAGAUAAAGAAAUUGAACAUGUGUCCCAUUUCUGACCAGUAUAGACACAGAUUGGGACCGAACUCUCCCCUGGACAAGCCUUCUUAGUUGCUGUGAGUGUAAGGAGGAGUGUUCAUACCCGAAGUGUACCACUCACCCUUCUCCUCAAGGCUUCCCACCAAGGAGGCCAUAGGCACAAGGAGCAAUCAUAGAACAGUAAGAAAAACACUAAUAAAAUUUGACUUGAGAAUUCAACAUAAGUUUGGUAACCUCAUCCUCCCGUCUUUCUAUCCCUUUUGCGGGGAUCUCUGGUUUAAAAAGUGGAUUGGAAAAUGUAGUUUAGGACUACCCCGGCCCCCCGACUCUGAGAGGCUAAAGUCUUCAAAAGAAAUUUAUCCUGACCUAAUAGUCUAGCGGCAAGCAAUAUGGAGUAUAUAGUCACAGAUGUUCAUCAUUUUUCACUGUAAUGGUUUUGCUCACUGGUGAUACGUGGCCCAGUGAUUGAUCUCAGGCCAGUUAGAUUAGUAACUCUUAUGUAGAAAAACUAAAGAAAGGACCUACUAGUACAAUUCACCUAAAAUUACACUUGAUAGUAUUUACUCUCCACCAUGG